UCAAGCGAACAAGGGCGCAGGGCGAAUGCCUUGGCACUGGGAGCCGAUGAAAGACGUGAUAAGCUGCGAUAAGCUUCGGGGAGCUGCAAAUAAGCAUUGAUCCGGAGAUUUCUGAAUGAGGAAACUCACCUGGGUUCAUACUCAGGUACAAUACACUGAAAUUUAAAAUAGGUGUAUUGAGGGAACCGCCUGAACUGAAACAUCUAAGUAGGGCGAGGAAGAGAUAUCAAACGAGAUUCCGUAAGUAGUGGCGAGCGAACGCGGAAGAGGGCAAACCGAGAGUAGAAAUACUUUCGGGGUACGGACUGCUUUUAAGACUCAAUCUGUUAACCGAACGGCAUGGGAAGGCCGGUCAGAGAGUGUGAGAACCACGUAGGUGAAAACGGAGAGAGCUGCGCAGGAUCCAGAGUACGGCCAGACACGUGAAACCUGGUCGGAAUACGGGGGGACCACCCUCCAACCCUAAAUACUACCCAGUGACCGAUAGCGUAUAGUACUGUGAAGGAAAGGUGAAAAGCACCCCGGGAGGGGAGUGAAAAAGAACCUGAAACCCUGUGCCUACAAGCACCUAGAGCGCGUCAAUGCGUGAUAGGGUACUUUUUGUAGAACGGUCCGGCGAGCGAUUGUAUGCAGCAAGGUUAAGGACUUAAGGUCUGGAGCCGAAGCGAAAGCGAGUUUGAAAAGGGCGUUAAGUUGCAUAUAAUGGGCCCGAAACCGGGUGACCUACCCAUGGUCAGGUUGAAGUGGAAGUAAAAUUCCAUGGAGGACCGAACCGACCUCCGUUGAAAAGGCGGCGGAUGAACUGUGGGUAGCGGAGAAAUUCCAAUCGAACCCGGAGAUAGCUGGUUCUCCCCGAAAUAGUUUUAGGACUAGCCUCAAGUUAGAUACCUGGAGGUAAAGCACUGAAUAGCCUAGCGGCCGAGAGGUUAGCGAAGCUUAUCAAACUCAGAAUGCCAGAGUAUUGAUGCUUGGGAGUCAGACAGUGUCAGAUAAAUGUCAUUGUCAAAAGGGAAACAGCCCAGAUCUACAGCUAAGGUCCCAAAGUCAGGUUAAGUGGAAAACGAUGUGAAGAUACGCAGACAACCAGGAUGUUGGCUCAGAAGCAGCCACUCAUUCAAAGAGUGCGUAAUAGCUCACUGGUCGAGCGUCUUUGCGCGGAGAAUUUAACGGGGCUAAACCUGACACCGAAGCUUAGGCAAUACAGCAAUGUAUUGGGUAGGGGAGCGUUGUAUACGCGGAGAAACAGUAGCGUAAGCGGCUGUGGAGUGUAUAGAAGUGAGAAUGCCGGAAUGAGUAGCGCGAAUGCAGUGAGAAUCUGCAUGGCCGAAAGCCUCAGGUUUCUGGAGGAAGGUUCGUCCGCUCCAGGUUAGUCGGGAGCUAAGGUGAGGCCGGAAGGCGUAGCCGAUGCACAGACGGUAGAGAUUCCGUCACCACCAAAAGAGUUAAGCACAGGGACACAUAUGAAGUCUCAGAGCCGGGUGUUGGUUCCGGUAGAGAUCGAGGGAAAUUAGUACCGAAGUCUGAGAUGGAAGAUGGCGAGAAAAGCUGUGUGUAUUUCUGAGGUGCCCGUACCGCAAACCGACACAGGUAGGUAGGAAGAAGAUUCUAAGGCCAACGGGAGAAGGGUUGUUAAGGAACUCGGCAAAUUGACCCCGUAACUUCGGGAGAAGGGGUGCUCCAGAGAUGGAGCCGCAGAGAAUCGGCCCAAGCAACUGUUUACCAAAAACACAGGUUUGUGCUAAAUCGAAAGAUGACGUAUACGAGCUGACGCCUGCCCGGUGCUGGAAGGUUAAGAGGAGAUGUGCAAGCAUUGAAUCGAAGCCCCAGUGAACGGCGGCCGUAACUAUAACGGUCCUAAGGUAGCGAAAUUCCUUGUCAGGUAAGUUCUGACCCGCAUGAAAGGCGUAAUGAUUUGGGCACUGUC
RNAcentral lists this ribosomal RNA (1924 nucleotides) under human gut metagenome. RNAcentral describes it as "bacterial LSU rRNA". It matches the Rfam family "Bacterial large subunit ribosomal RNA", at positions 3 to 2020 of the family's 2925-position model. The record is from RNAcentral.